Molecule: ribosomal RNA, 473 nt
Filed under: uncultured bacterium
Lineage: Bacteria
Description: bacterial SSU rRNA
Rfam family: Bacterial small subunit ribosomal RNA
Source: RNAcentral
GACAAACGCUGGCGGCGUGCCUAACACAUGCAAGUCGAGCGGAGAUAAUGGUUGAGUAAUCGGCGAUUAUUUUAGCGGCGGACGGGUGAGUAACGCGUGAGCGACCUGCCUUUUACAGGGGGAUAACGGAGGGAAACCUUCACUAAUGCCGCAUGAGACCUCUUAGCCGCAUGGCAGAGAGGUUAAAGGAGUUAAAUCCGGUAAGAGAGGGGCUCGCGUCCGAUUAGGUAGUUGGUGAGGUAAGGGCUCACCAAGCCAACGAUCGGUAGCCGACCUGAGAGGGUGAUCGGCCACAUUGGAACUGAGAACGGUCCAAACUCCUACGGGAGGCAGCAGUGGGGAAUAUUGGGCAAUGGGGGGAACCCUGACCCAGCGACGCCGCGUGAGGGAAGAAGGUUUUCGGAUUGUAAACCUCUGUCCUUGGUGAAGAGAAGAAGACGGUAGCCAAGGAGGAAGCCCCGGCUAACUACGUG